RNAcentral lists this long non-coding RNA (792 nucleotides) under Carica papaya (papaya). Its description in RNAcentral is "long non-coding RNA (CPAP_LNC002487)". The record is from RNAcentral. Lineage: Eukaryota; Viridiplantae; Streptophyta; Magnoliopsida; Brassicales; Caricaceae.
AAAUGAUUUAUAAGAUUUGGUUAAUGAAUUUGGGUGUAGAUACCACGUGCUUUCUGAAUUAAAGAGAAAAGUGUUAAACAAUCUCCGUCAGUAGUUUUAUGUUCUCUACCAACUUGGAUAGAUUAUCCUAUUAUUUGUUGGUACUUACAUACUUAUUGAGCAUAUUAAGCUCACUCUAUUUAUUAUUCAUUUUUUUAAGAUUAGGAUAUUCAUAACCCUGCUCCUGAAUAAUGAAAGACUUGCUAGAAGAUCAUUUAAUUUUUAUUCUAAUUCGAACAGUACUUAAUGUUAAUGAUUUCAUUUUUAGUGAGUGUUUAUUUUAGAUUUUAGACAUGCCUUAUGGAUAUUGGAUAUUUUGAACUAAGUUUGCAAGGGAUGUACUGGGAGGGUGUUUUAACCUACAAAGGAGUGGCUGAAAGGGGCAACUGGGUAGACCAAGGAUGAGGUAACAUAUGGGUCAUGAAAUAGGAGCUGUCAUGGUAAUUAUGUUGAAAUUCAAGGGAAAUUUAGGUAGUAGUGUGAUGGGAACCAUAUAAGCAAAGCGAUAAAUGUCUAUUUGAGUGGGAGAGUGAUGAAAAAGAGUAGAGAGACUAUUUGGGACAAGUCAAGGAAGUGGAUAACAGGCUAUUUGUACCUGUGAGCUUUGGGAAGAGUAUAAGAUAUCUAGAGAGAAAAAGGGGACUAUCUGGAGUGAGAGAUAGAGUUGAGGGUGACUCCGGUUUAGGAAUUUCAUUGAUUUUAAUACAUUGUUUAAGUCUAAAUUUAACUUUAUGGGCAUGGGUAGGCUCAUUC